RNAcentral lists this transfer RNA (71 nucleotides) under Kitasatospora acidiphila. It matches the Rfam family "tRNA". From Rfam's summary of the family: Transfer RNA (tRNA) molecules are approximately 80 nucleotides in length. Lineage: Bacteria; Bacillati; Actinomycetota; Actinomycetes; Kitasatosporales; Streptomycetaceae. RNAcentral also lists the same sequence under 1 other name. The record is from Rfam by way of RNAcentral.
GGUGGAGUGGCCGAGAGGCGAGGCAGCGGCCUGCAGAGCCGUGCACAUAGGUUCGAAUCCUGUCUCCACCU